GGGGGACAUGAUGGUGGCUCAGAUUACAGGGGCUACUCAGCAAGAAGUGGAAGGACUUCAGAGAGAUUUGGAGGCAAAACCCACAGGCUUACUGAUGAAUGGAACCGGUGGAGGUGUGUGAUGCGAUACUCAAAGGCAACCUGGUCAGGUGCACGAAGUCUAGGGUUCAGAAUCCAACAGGCUCAAAUUCAAGUCCAGCUCAGCCACAUGGCUGAGCGCUGUCUGAAUCUCAGCGUCCUCAGCUGUUAAACAGAGUGUCUCUCGAGAAUGAAAAUGACCAGGCCAUCCUCACAUUCUACAGAGGUUAACCCAGCAACUUAGGGACACAGCUGGGGCAGGACUCCCGGGCUCCUGGUCAGUCCCUCUAUGGGGAUGCUAAGCCUCAGGGCUGACAUCUCUUAGCUCUGCCUUCCAGGGAGAAUUUCACAGGGCCUCCCAUUUGUGCUGCUGUGAAGGCCGUCCUGCUCCUUAUCAAGCCUGUCUUCUCCGUGGCUUGAGGAAGAUCUCUUUCGUGCCCAAAUUGUGAAUAAGUAAACUGGAUGCAGCAUCUCUGAUUGCUCU
This 561-nucleotide non-coding RNA is filed under the name Pan troglodytes (chimpanzee). Lineage: Eukaryota; Metazoa; Chordata; Mammalia; Primates; Hominidae. The record is from RNAcentral.